AAUCAAGCGCGAGAAGGGCGUUUGGUGAAUGCCUUGGCAGUAAGAGGCGAUGAAGGACGUGAUACUCUGCGAUAAGUCAUGGGGAGCUGAGAAUAAGCUUUGAUCCAUGAAUUUCCGAAUGGGGCAACCCACCUGACAGUUCGAUAUAAUAGCCUUUUGGCUGCUUAUAUCUUGCUGAAACAGGUACUUAUAGACUGAAUACAUAGGUUUAUAAGAGCGAACCCGGGGAACUGAAACAUCUAAGUACCCGGAGGAAAGGACAUCAAUUGAGACUCCCCUAGUAGCGGCGAGCGAACGGGGACCAGCCGAGCCUUGAAUGUGAAUAGAAUGGUCUGGAAUGGCCAACCACAGUGGGUGACAGUCCCGUAUAUGAAGCACGAUAGGACGUAUUAAGUAGGGCGGGACACGUGAAAUCCUGUCUGAAGAUCGGGGGACCACCCUCGAAGGCUAAGUACUCCUUACUGACCGAUAGUGAACCAGUACCGUGAGGGAAAGGUGAAAAGCACCCCGACGAGGGGAGUGAAACAGUACCUGAAACCGAACGCCUACAAUCAGUCGGAGGCUCCUUGCGAGCUGACGGCGUACCUUUUGUAUAAUGGGUCAUCGACUUGGUCUCACGAGCAAGCUUAAGCCGUUAGGUGUAGGCGCAGCGAAAGCGAGUCUUAAUAGGGCGCAUGAGUUCGUGGGAUCAGACCCGAAACCGAGUGAUCUAGGCAUGACCAGGAUGAAGGUAAGGUAACACUUACUGGAGGUCCGAACCCACACCUGUUGAAAAAGGUCGGGAUGAGUUGUGCCUAGGGGUGAAAGGCCAAUCAAACUCGGAGAUAGCUGGUUCUCUGCGAAAUCUAUUUAGGUAGAGCGUCAUCCGAAUACCCCGGGGGGUAGAGCACUGGAUGGGUAAUGGGGCCCCACAGGCUUACUGAUCCUAACCAAACUCCGAAUACCCGGGAGUACUAGAUGGCAGACACACCAUGGAUGCUAACGUCCAUGGUGAAGAGGGAAACAACCCUGACCUCCAGCUAAGGCCCCUAAUUCAUGGCUAAG
Molecule: non-coding RNA, 1044 nt
Filed under: Thalassovita gelatinovora
Lineage: Bacteria; Pseudomonadati; Pseudomonadota; Alphaproteobacteria; Rhodobacterales; Roseobacteraceae
Description: Thalassobius gelatinovorus Bacterial large subunit ribosomal RNA
Rfam family: Bacterial large subunit ribosomal RNA
Source: Rfam by way of RNAcentral